This is a ribosomal RNA of Cricetulus griseus (Chinese hamster), 111 nucleotides long. NCBI's taxonomy places the organism in Eukaryota, Metazoa, Chordata, Mammalia, Rodentia, Cricetidae. The record is from Ensembl.
AUCUAUGGUCAUAGCACUCUGAAUGUGUCCAGUUUUAUCUCAUCUUGGAAGCUAAGCAGGGUAGGGCCUGGUUGGUACUUGGGUGAGAGAAGGGAAAGAAGACCAUCCAUG